UAAAAGAAAAAUAAAAUAUCAAAAAAGAACCAAAUAUAAAUUUAAAAAUAAUUUUAAUUAAAUAAAUUGCAAAUUUUAAAUUUGCUACUCAUGAUUUUUUUUACCUAUAAAAACUAAUGAGUAAGAGAAAUCUGUAAAAAAUCUAAUGGGAAAUUGUUGCAAGAGUUCAGUUACACCCAUUGUGCGUAGAAAGGCCCAACGACACUUUGAGGAUGGCAUACGUGAAGUUGAUUUUGUUAUAGGUUUUCAUCAUUUCGAUAUACAAUUUGAUCAUGUAAAGAAACGCCACAUAUUCGAAAGAAAUUUAUCUAAAGAAGGUUUGCAAGUGGAAUUGGACUUUACACAAUGUAUACAUUUUAUAAAAAUUCAUGCUCCUCAAGAAGUAUUGUAUAGUUAUGCGGAAAUACUUAAAAUAAAAAUGCCCAUGAAAAAGCUUCCCGGUCAAGAAUUUCUCUAUGACAAUCCUUAUGAAACAUGCAUAAGUUUAGAGCAGAUUUAUGUACAAAAGGAUGACAAAGUACCCACAUGUUCUGAAAGGAUCUGUAAACCAUUAUUCAGAUGUAUUAAAUUAAGUCCCACAAAAUUUCCUCCCAAACAAAAGCGCAUAUAUUCAGAAUUUCAAAUUAAUCAUAAAAGUUUAUACGAUAGCCAACAAUCGAGUUUUUUUGAUGCUGGAACCAGAAACAGUAUUGUUUACUUUAUAUUAGAACGGUUACAUUUUAGCGAUGACGAGAAUACACAGGAUAAUGUAGGCAUUGAAAAGUUGCUAGCAGAAGGAGUCUAUACCUGUGCCUACACUCUACACGAUGAAACAGAUCGAAAUUUAUUACUAAAUGAAUGGGCUACUGUGAAUCGUUUGUUGCACAACCAGCCCUUAGACCACAUUAAGGAGUAUUUUGGUGCUAAAAUAGCCAUAUAUUUUGCUUGGUUGGGUUUCUAUACUAAUAUGUUAAUACCUCUGAGCCUUAUAGGUUUAUUGUAUUUAUUAUUUGGUUUUUUAACUAGAUCAUGGGAUACCGUGAGUAAAGAGAUUUGUGAUCACACGAGAACAAUAAUCAUGUGUCCUUCCUGUGAUCGCCUUUGUGAUUAUUGGGAACUUAAGGAAAUUUGCAUAGCAGCUAAAGUUAACUAUUUAAUUGAUAAUUAUGGCACAGUGGGAUAUGCUUUUAUAACUUCUAUAUGGGCUGUUUUAUUUCUAGAGUUAUGGAAACGUUAUGUAGCCAAAUUAGUUCAUAAAUGGGGUCUUACCGGUUAUACUCAAGAACUGGAGCAUGCGCGUCCGCAAUUUUUGUCUAAAUUGAAAAAGAAUAAAAAGUUGGCAUCACAAAUGAAUCAUUUCUUUGAGCCUGAUGUACCUUUCUGGUUUACGAAGUGUCUACCAAGUAUCACUAAUUACAGUAUAUUACUGUUGUUUAUUUGCAUCUCUCUAAUGGUAACCAUUUCCAUGAUAGUUUAUCGCAUGGCCCAACGUGCAGCCCAAAACAUAGUUGGCACUGAUACUCCGGUAGUCUAUACUGUUUUCUACUUUCCCAUGGCCUCAACUGUUAUAGAACUCAGUAUGAUCACAGCCUUAGCCAAUAUAUACAAUAGCCUGGCCAUUGUAUUAACCAACUGGGAAUAUUGUCGCACACAAAAGGAAUACGAUGAAAGUGUUACCACGAAAAAUUUUAUAUUUCAUUUUAUCAAUUAUUAUUCUUCGCUCUUCUAUAUAGCCUUUAUUAAAGGCAAAUUAGUGGGUUAUCCUGGAAAAUAUAAUAGAUUUUUUGGUUGGCGUCGCGAGGAAUGUCAUCAUGGAGGUUGUUUGUUGGAAUUAAGUAUACAGCUGACAAUUAUAAUGUUGGGUAAACAAGUAUUUUUUGGUAUGCUUGAAAUGUUAAUGCCGCCUUUGAAAAUUUGUUUAAGUUUAAUCAGCUCUAGAAGAGGUGAGUCAUUGCAGGGAAACAAUCAAUGGUGCAAGGAUUAUUAUUUAUUAGCAUGGUCUAAUAAUAUGAUGUAUUUGGAAUAUUUGGAAAUGGUGAUCCAGUAUGGUUUUGUUACCUUAUUUGGUCUGGCCUUUCCUUUGGCUCCCCUAUUUGCCCUAAUCAACAAUCUGUUUGAAACCCGUUUGGAUGCUUAUAAAAUGCUUAAUUACUUACGUAGGCCAGUGGCUCAAAGAGCUUGUGAUAUUGGUGUUUGGUUGGGAUUUCUUAAUAUGAUUACCAAACUUGCGGUGGCUUCUUGUGCUGUCCUAAUUGCCUUUUCCACAAAUUUUAUAACUAAACUUGUAUACAUUUCCAUCAUUAGUAAAGAUGGCACUUUAAAGGGUUAUACUGAUUUUGUUUUAUCACAUUUCAAUACUAAAGACUUUGAAUUACAACCUUUAUUCACUAAUGCAUCGGAGUAUUUAAAUGUGGAAGUGUGUAGAUAUUGGGAUUUUCGUAAUCCUCCUUCGUCGGAGAGACCAUUUGAAAGGCCAAUGAUAUAUUGGCAAAUUUUGGCGGCUAAAUUGGUGUUUAUUGUUUUGUAUCAGAAUUUUAUAGGUUUAAUUCAAAAUAUCAUAUCCUGGUCUAUACCGGAUGUCUCACGAGAUUUACAAAAACGUAUAGAUCGUGAAAACUAUUUGUUACGUGAAUUUAUUAUUGAAUAUGAAAAGUUAUUGGCUUUAGAGCAAAAUUAUGAACUUGAAUGAUUUUUAUUAGAAAGAUUUCAAAUUAAGAUUUUGUGAUAUUCAUUAGAUACUAAUCUUGAUUAAAACAAGAAAAAGCUAACCUGCAAUAAUUGAAUAAUCAUUUAGAAAUAAGCCAAAUUGGACGGCUAGUGUAGCAAUUUGAAUUUAUUCAAAUACGUAACACGUUAACUAAAACUACACUCAGUUAUGCAUGUAAGCAAAAGUCAAUAGUAAAAUCUCUAUAUCAUUUUUCAAAUUAAAAAAACUGCAUGUUCAACAAAGGAAAAAUAUGAUAAAAAUGUCUGA
This 2953-nucleotide unclassified non-coding RNA is filed under the name Lucilia cuprina (Australian sheep blowfly). RNAcentral describes it as "anoctamin-1-like, transcript variant X1". The record is from RNAcentral. Lineage: Eukaryota; Metazoa; Arthropoda; Insecta; Diptera; Calliphoridae.